This is a non-coding RNA of Acanthosepion pharaonis, 114 nucleotides long. Lineage: Eukaryota; Metazoa; Mollusca; Cephalopoda; Sepiida; Sepiidae. The record is from the annotation of a GenBank genome assembly.
UUACAGCCAUAUCAUGUUGAAACACAGGUUCUCGUAUGAUCACUGAAAUUAGGUAAUGGUGAGCAUGGUCAGUACCAGGACGGGCGACGACUUGGGAAUACCAGGUGUUGUAAG